Molecule: long non-coding RNA, 1014 nt
Filed under: Piliocolobus tephrosceles (Ugandan red Colobus)
Lineage: Eukaryota; Metazoa; Chordata; Mammalia; Primates; Cercopithecidae
Description: lncRNA (ENSPTEG00000005940.1)
Source: RNAcentral
AUGUUAGGAAAAAGAAAGUAUUUCGAGACACACCAAAAAAAAAAAAUAAGAAAAUGGAUUGAAGAAUUAGAUGAAGAUUCUAAAGAAAUAGAUAUAGAGUGUUUAAACGAUUUAGAACAAACUGAAAAAAGUCAUUUACAAGAGUUAGAUGAGACAAAAGAACAAGAAGAAGAAACAGAAAAAAUAAUUUCAAAACUAAAUAAACAAAAUGAUGAUGACAAUGAAUCGAAUGAAACAAGUGAUGAAGUUAGUAAAAAAAAUGAUUCUAAUAAAAAAAAAAGAAGAUAUGACUGGAUGAGUAGUGAUGAUGAAGAUAUAUCAUCAAGUGAUGAUGAAGAAGAGGAGGAGAUGGAAGAGAAACAGAAAGAGACAGAAAAAGAGAAAGAGAAAAAGAAAGGCGAAAACGAUGAUGGUUUAACAAUGGAACCAAAUAAUGGGAUGGAUAAUGAGCUAGAUAGUGAGCUAAAUAAUAAUACCGAGGAAUAUCUUAAUACGAGCAUUAAUAAUAAUAAUAAUAAUAAUAAUAAUAAUAAUAAUGGUUCUGUUAAGGCUGUUAGUGCUGCUUGCGCUGUUGGUUGUGAAUAUACAGCUUAUAAUAAAACGGUAGCUACUAAAAUAAAUAGUGAUAAUGUUAAUUAUUAUGAAAUAAUUGAUAAUAUAAGUAAAUAUUCAAUUAAUCCAUUAGAUAUAAGACUAGAAGAUAUUGAACAUCUUAUAACUUACAUUUAUUUUAAUAACAUUCAUUUUAAUUGUAUUAUUGAAGAUUUAGUAAAGUUUUUAGAAAAUCAUAUUGAUAACAAAAUUUUACAAAUUAAUUCAGAUAAGUUUCAGAAUUAUACUAUUAUAUAUAAAUAUAAUGAAAAAAAUAAUGAUAAGGUGGUAAUAAGUAAAUUUCCACAUAUGGGCAAACUAUUUGUUCAUGUAAAAAAUUAUCAAGUAAUUUUUACGAAAAUUUGUAGUAUAAAAAAAAAAAAAAAAAAAAAAAAAAAAAAUUUCUUUCCAAUUCUGAGAUAA